Molecule: ribosomal RNA, 252 nt
Filed under: uncultured bacterium
Lineage: Bacteria
Description: partial 16S ribosomal RNA
Rfam family: Bacterial small subunit ribosomal RNA
Source: RNAcentral
UACGUAGGGGGCAAGCGUUGUCCGGAAUUAUUGGGCGUAAAGAGCGUGUAGGCGGUAAAUUAAGUUGGAUGUAAAAGGCAACGGCUCAACCGUUGUAAGCAUCCAAAACUGAUAUACUUGAGUGCAGGAGAGGAAAGUGGAAUUCCCGGUGUAGCGGUGGAAUGCGUAGAGAUCGGGAGGAACACCAGUGGCGAAGGCGGCUUUCUGGCCUGCAACUGACGCUGAGACGCGAAAGCGUGGGUAGCAAACAGG